GUCUGCUACUCAGGUUUCCACGACAGAUGCAAGAAGAAGGCAUCCUCGCGCUUUCUGUCUGUCUGAUGGUGGCAGCCCAGAUUGAAUGGAGGAAUACAAGG
RNAcentral lists this small nucleolar RNA (101 nucleotides) under Sus scrofa (pig). RNAcentral describes it as "Small nucleolar RNA SNORA31 (ENSSSCG00005000631.1)". It matches the Rfam family "Small nucleolar RNA SNORA31", at positions 33 to 130 of the family's 130-position model. From Rfam's summary of the family: ACA31 (SNORA31) belongs to the H/ACA class of snoRNAs which are thought to guide the sites of modification of uridines to pseudouridines. ACA31 is predicted to guide the pseudouridylation of U3713 in 28S rRNA and U218 in 18S rRNA. Lineage: Eukaryota; Metazoa; Chordata; Mammalia; Artiodactyla; Suidae. The record is from RNAcentral.